This is a long non-coding RNA of Syngnathoides biaculeatus (alligator pipefish), 443 nucleotides long. RefSeq lists it as uncharacterized. The transcript is spliced from 3 exons. The record is from RefSeq and is a predicted model, not a curated record. Lineage: Eukaryota; Metazoa; Chordata; Actinopteri; Syngnathiformes; Syngnathidae.
AGGAAACCUUCUCUAGCAGAAGGCGCUGUCUGGCACCUUCUUCCUCUUCUAGCUGCUCCUCCAGGUCCUAGAAGGAGAAAAAGAGCCCCAGUAACCCCUGUUUUUAAUUCAAGACGCACUCAGAAGAAUACAUUCGGCUCUCCAGCUCAGUGAGCACAUCUUCUAGCUCCUGCUUGCGACUGGCCAGUCUGGACCGCAUCUCUUCGGCUUCUGCAAAGAGCUCUGCUUCGGCUUGCAGUUGGUCAGCCAACACUGCCUUCUCUUCUACCAGCUAGUAGAUGAAGAAGAGGGGAGAUAGUGACCUGAGUCGGUGAAUUCCUGCUCCAUUCGGGUAAGUCUUUCUUUGACCUUCACCAACUCUGACUCUCUGAUUUGGAUCUCCUCAUCUUGCCGGGUCACCUGUAGCAGCGGCUUCACCUGCCAAGUACACAUCAAGAGUCAGG